UAGGGAAUUUUGGACAAUGGGCGAAAGCCUGAUCCAGCAACGCCGCGUGCGCGAUGAAGGCCUUCGGGUUGUAAAGCGCUUUUAGAGGAGAUGAGAAAGGACAGUAUCCUCUGAAUAAGCCUCGGCGAACUACGUGCCAGCAGCCGCGGUAAAACGUAGGAGGCUAGCGUUAUCCGGAUUUAUUGGGCGUAAAGCGUGUGCAGGCGGUUAUGCAAGUUGGAUGUGAAAGCUCCUGGCUUAACUGUGAGAGGUCGUUCAAAACUGCAUGACUAGAGAAUGGGAGAGGGAGGUGGAAUUCCGGGUGUAGUGGUGAAAUGCGUAGAUAUCCGGAGGAACACCAGUGGCGAAAGCGGCCUCCUGGACCAUUUCUGACGCUCAGACACGAAAGCUAGGG
This 394-nucleotide ribosomal RNA is filed under the name uncultured bacterium. RNAcentral's name for it is "bacterial SSU rRNA". It matches the Rfam family "Bacterial small subunit ribosomal RNA", at positions 355 to 765 of the family's 1533-position model. The record is from RNAcentral.